AUUGGCGUGAUUUCCCAUCUCCAUCGUCAUCUGCCGCUCCGCAUAGCUUCGAGCUCCAAGCCUGCGACGCCAUGAUCACUUGGGAUCGAGAGUUCUUCGAGGAAGUCGACGAGAAGCUCCCGGUUGAGCACAAUUCCCUCCCCACCGCUCGCGUUAACAGAGCAGAAGCAGAGUCUGCAAGAACCCAACAAAACCCUCACAACCACAAUCACAAGAGCAGCCAUGGAUGAUUUCUCCUACCUUUCCGACACCGACGAUUACCCGGUGAGUUGACUUCGCAGUGGAAGAUCUCAUUUCCCAGACCAAGGACCUCUUCGUCCUCGAGCCAAAUCGCUGCCAUCAACUGCUCCUCGGAGGACGCAAUUGCCCCGCUGCCAAAGCGGAAUCCGGACGAGAAAUCGUGUUAGAAGUCCACCACGAAGUUACGAUCCAGACUCUUCGCCGAUGGAUUAUUUCGAUUCGUGGAGGAGGACGAGGUACUGUCGGAUUUGGAGGCUUUCUCCCCUAAAGAGCAGAAGAAACGUUGCUGAAGUAGGCAACGAAGGAGCGGAGAAGAUCGCCAGGAUGGCGAAGCAAAUGGAGGGAUGUGCUCUUACAUAUCAGUAAACUUCAUUACUGAAUAGUAGUGAUUACAAUCUGGGCCAUAUGUUUUGGUUUCAAUAUAAGGAGCAACUUUUCACAUAACCACGAUUCGGAAACGAAAAUCAAACCAUAGAUGCCGGCAAACUGCUUGGGUACAGCCUAACUAGAUCGAUUUCAAAUUUCUCGUCGAAGUCUUUAAAUGUCAUUGAUUCUAUGCUUUGAAAGAGGGAAUCAGUAGUUUGGCAAAACCACUGCUAGAUCAGAUGAUCUGGUUGAAAUUAAGGUUGAGCUGUGUGGAACUUUAAUGCCUCUCUCAAGUCUCAACUAGGUAGAGUGGUCUUCUUAGGCUCGAAAUCUGGUGACUUCACUCAGGCUGAUGGUUGGAGCUUAACUAGGGAGAAGAAGGCUGAGUUAACUUGGCAUAGGCUAAUUUGGUUUAAUCCAAAUGUGCCGACAUUUUGCUUUGUAUCUUGGCUUGCUAUCCUUACCAAGUUGCAGCAGACUGAUGAUAGAUUUUGUAAAUGGCAGAAUGUGAAUGAUAUUUGUGUCCUCUGUGGAUCGAAGCCCGAAUCAAGGAGACAUUUGUUCUUUGAAUGCUCUUUCUCCUCUGAAAAAUGAAGUAGGCUUUUGCAGCUAUGUGGUGUGGGAGGUUUUGUUGGCGAUUGUGAUGCUGAGUUUAUGUGGGUGUUGCAGACAUCAAAGGGGAGGUCUCUGGAAAGUCUUAUUAAAGAUGGCAUGGAAUGGUGUCAUUUAUUACUCAUGGAAGGAAAGAAAUACUAUAGUUCACAUUUGUAGAGUUCCCUGCGCUGAGAAGGUUUUCGAGAGUAUGUUGUUUGUGGUAAGGUUGCUGGUUUGCUGAAGGAGAAAGGAGCUCAUUUGGCAAGAGCUGAUAAUAAUUUGUGUGGUUUUUGGGGCAUAUAAAUACCUGAGAUUGGGCAGGAGAAGGAUUAUUCUCUUGUUUCAUCGUGCUAUAAUGCUUUAGUUGUGUUGGUUUGGUAGCAGGGGAAGUGAAAUUCUUGGGCUUGAUGUUUUUGCUUGACAUCUUGUAUUGAGAUUUAGACCUUAUUGAAGUUGUAGUGGGAAGUGGAUGUCCAGUGGUUUGAUGAUUCAUUGGCGAUGUUGUUACCAUGUCUUAAAUUCCAGAAAUCAUCAGGGAUAUUUUUGUCUGAUGAUUCAUUGGCUA
This is a long non-coding RNA of Eucalyptus grandis, 1765 nucleotides long. RefSeq lists it as uncharacterized. Lineage: Eukaryota; Viridiplantae; Streptophyta; Magnoliopsida; Myrtales; Myrtaceae. The transcript has 2 exons. The record is from RefSeq and is a predicted model, not a curated record.